AGACAGCCAGGAUGUUGGCUUAGAAGCAGCCAUCAUUUAAAGAAAGCGUAAUAGCUCACUGGUCGAGUCGGCCUGCGCGGAAGAUGUAACGGGGCUAAACCAUGCACCGAAGCUGCGGCAGCGACACGAUGUGUUGUUGGGUAGGGGAGCGUUCUGUAAGCCUGCGAAGGUGACCUGUGAGGGUUGCUGGAGGUAUCAGAAGUGCGAAUGCUGACAUAAGUAACGAUAAAGCGGGUGAAAAGCCCGCUCGCCGGA
This 255-nucleotide ribosomal RNA is filed under the name Klebsiella pneumoniae. RNAcentral describes it as "partial 23S ribosomal RNA". It matches the Rfam family "Bacterial large subunit ribosomal RNA", at positions 1087 to 1341 of the family's 2925-position model. RNAcentral also lists the same sequence under 2 other names. Lineage: Bacteria; Pseudomonadati; Pseudomonadota; Gammaproteobacteria; Enterobacterales; Enterobacteriaceae. The record is from RNAcentral.